GGUCUGUUAGCUUAGCUGGUAGAGUAUCGACAGUGCUAACGUCGAGAGCAUCGGUUCGAAUCCGGUACAGAUCGCCA
RNAcentral lists this transfer RNA (77 nucleotides) under Pseudomonas syringae pv. actinidiae. RNAcentral's name for it is "tRNA-Ser". It matches the Rfam family "tRNA". From Rfam's summary of the family: Transfer RNA (tRNA) molecules are approximately 80 nucleotides in length. Their secondary structure includes four short double-helical elements and three loops (D, anti-codon, and T loops). The record is from RNAcentral. Lineage: Bacteria; Pseudomonadati; Pseudomonadota; Gammaproteobacteria; Pseudomonadales; Pseudomonadaceae.